CAAUAGCGUAUAUUAAAGUUGUUGCGGUUAAAAAGCUCGUAGUUGGAUUUCUGCGAGGGUGCCAAUGUCCGCCGACGCGCGUGCGCAGCGGCGCCCUCGCAUCCUUCUGUUACCACCUCUCGGCAUUCACUUGCCGGUGGUCGGCUCAGAGAAUUUACCUUGAGAAAAUUAGAGUGUUUCAGGCAGGCUAGGCCGGAAUACAUUAGCAUGGAAUAAUGGAAUAGGACUACGGUCUCGUUGUUGGUUUGAGGGACUGCAGUAAUGAUUAAUAGGGAUAGUUGGGGGCAUUAGUAUUUAAUUGUCAGAGGUGAAAUUCUCAGAUUUGUUAAAGACUAACUUAUGCGAAAGCAUUUGCCAAGGAUGUUUUCAUUAA
Molecule: ribosomal RNA, 373 nt
Filed under: uncultured eukaryote
Lineage: Eukaryota
Description: partial 18S ribosomal RNA
Rfam family: Eukaryotic small subunit ribosomal RNA
Source: RNAcentral